AACAAAGUUGUCAUCGGUGUUCUGGUGUUCUUCAUCAUCCUCAUCAUCACAGCUGUGGUGGUUUGCAGGAUCUAUGUUCUGAAGUGCAGAAAGUCCAGAAACGAUGUUAAUGAGGAUAUGAUGCUUGAAUCAACAGCAAUUUAUGUGAACGUACCACCUCCUGGAUGGCGUCGCCAAGAAGCUCGCUGAUGAAGAAGGACCUGCUGGAUCUGCUCAACUAAUCACCAUUAACUUGUUGUGCUUUUAAGUUGUUCAGUAUGUAGUGUGUGUGUGUGUGUGUGUGUGUGUGUGUGUGUGUGUGUGUGUGUGUGUGUGUGUGUGUGUGUGUGUGUGUGUGAUUUUAGAAACUUUACUUUUAAUCACCUUGUUUGUUUUGUGGCCAAGCCCUUAAAUAUUAAAGUUGGUUAAUUAAACGGCCUCCAUACAUGUAAACUGUCCUUGGGUACCUUGAAAGGGGCUAUGAAAAUGAAAGUUAUUAUUGUUAUUUUCCCCACUUUUAGAUUUCUUUAAUUGUUACUUUUUGGUGCAAACAUGUAGUUACAUCAGAGAUAUAACAAUAGAAACAGGCAUAAAAUGCAAAAGGGCAGACAGGGAAAACAAUGACACAGACAGACAGACUUGGACGCUGUGUAAACCACAGUUGAUGUCCAUGUACAUGGAAGUGGAGGCACUGAGGUCACCAGGUACGGGGGGGUUGUUACCUGGCUGAGGAAGUGUCAUAGGCUUCAGUAGAACCUAGAUAGGUUUCACCUGGUGGCCACUUGUGGUAUUGCAGUGAAAAAGAAAAACCUUUUUGUGCUUGCCGACUAGUGUUGGGUUACGUUACAUUUAAAUGUAACUCAUUAUGUAACAAUCAAAGCCCAAAUGUGAUGAAACUGCUGGGGUUUCAAAAAAAAUAAUU
Acanthopagrus latus (yellowfin seabream) is the source of this 901-nucleotide long non-coding RNA. RefSeq lists it as uncharacterized. The record is from RefSeq and is a predicted model, not a curated record. Lineage: Eukaryota; Metazoa; Chordata; Actinopteri; Spariformes; Sparidae. The transcript is spliced from 3 exons.